AUUGAACGCUGGCGGCAGGCCUAACACAUGCAAGUCGAACGGCAACAGGAAGAAGCUUGCUUCUUUGCUGACGAGUGGCGGACGGGUGAGUAAUGUCUGGGAAACUGCCUGAUGGAGGGGGAUAACUACUGGAAACGGUAGCUAAUACCGCAUAACGUCGCAAGACCAAAGAGGGGGACCUUCGGGCCUCUUGCCAUCGGAUGUGCCCAGAUGGGAUUAGCUAGUAGGUGGGGUAACGGCUCACCUGGGCGACGAUCCCUAGCUGGUCUGAGAGGAUGACCAGCCACACUGGAACUGAGACACGGUCCAGACUCCUACGGGAGGCAGCAGUGGGGAAUAUUGCACAAUGGGCGCAAGCCUGAUGCAGCCAUGCCGCGUGUAUGAAGAAGGCCUUCGGGUUGUAAAGUACUUUCAGCGGGGAGGAAGGGAGUAAAGUUAAUACCUUUGCUCAUUGACGUUACCCGCAGAAGAAGCACCGGCUAACUCCGUG
Molecule: ribosomal RNA, 490 nt
Filed under: uncultured bacterium
Lineage: Bacteria
Description: partial 16S ribosomal RNA
Rfam family: Bacterial small subunit ribosomal RNA
Source: RNAcentral